GGUCCUAAAGGAACAUCUGAUAAAAUUGGAAUGAUAUAGAGAAGAUUAACAUGGUUCAUGUGCAAAGAUGACACACAAAUCUCGAGAAAUGGUCCAAAAUUUU
This is a small nuclear RNA of Brassica oleracea var. oleracea, 103 nucleotides long. The record is from Rfam. Lineage: Eukaryota; Viridiplantae; Streptophyta; Magnoliopsida; Brassicales; Brassicaceae.